CUGAAGAGUCGUUCAAGACCAGGACGUUGAUAGGUCAGGUGUGGAAGCGCAGUAAUGCGUUAAGCUAACUGAUACUAAUUGCUCGUGCGGCUUGACCCUAUAACUUUG
This 108-nucleotide ribosomal RNA is filed under the name Mycobacterium tuberculosis. RNAcentral describes it as "partial 23S ribosomal RNA". It matches the Rfam family "Bacterial large subunit ribosomal RNA", at positions 2827 to 2925 of the family's 2925-position model. Lineage: Bacteria; Bacillati; Actinomycetota; Actinomycetes; Mycobacteriales; Mycobacteriaceae. The record is from RNAcentral.